This is a long non-coding RNA of Priapulus caudatus, 360 nucleotides long. RefSeq lists it as uncharacterized. Lineage: Eukaryota; Metazoa; Priapulida; Priapulimorpha; Priapulimorphida; Priapulidae. The transcript is spliced from 3 exons. The record is from RefSeq and is a predicted model, not a curated record.
GUUCCAGUUGGUCCUGUUUCAGUUGGUCCAGUUCCAGUUGGCCCAGUUACUGUAGGCCCGGUUCCAGUUGGUCCAGUUACUGUAGGUCCUGUUUCGGUUGGUCCUGUUCCAGUUUGCCCAGUUCCAGUUGGACCUGUUACUGUAGGUCCAGUUACUGUAGGUCCUGUUCCAGUUGGUCCUGUUCCAGUUGGUCCUGUUCCAGUUGGUCCAGUUACUGUAGGUCCUGUUCCAGUUGGUCCAGUUACUGUAGGUCCAGUUCCAGUUGGUCCAGUUCCAGUUGGACCAGUUACUGUAGGUCCUGUUCCUGUUGGUCCUGUUCCAGUUGGUCCAGUUCCAGUUGGUCCAGUUACUGUAGGUCCU